CGGACGACGCUGGCGGCGUGGAUUAGGCAUGCAAGUCGAACGGUAUCAUCCUUUCGGGGGUGAGAGAGUGGCGAACUGGUGAGUAACACGUAGGUUAUCUACCCUCAAGACGGGGACAACCCAGGGAAACUUGGGCUAAUACCGGAUGUGAGCAACUUUUAGUUGUUUGAAAGGUGGCGUAAGCUGUCGCUUGGGGAUGAGCCUGCGUCCUAUUAGUUAGUUGGUGAGGUAACGGCUCACCUAGGCAAUGAUAGGUAGGCGGCCUUAACGGGUGGUCGCCCACACUGGGAUUGAGAUACGGCCCAGACUCCUACGGGAGGCAGCAGUCGAGAAUAGUCUACAAUGGUCGGAAGACUGAUAGUGCGACGCCGCGUGAACGAUGAAUCCCUUCGGGGUGUAAACCUCUGUCUGGAGGGACGAGAAUGGACGGUACCUCCGGAGGAAGCCCCGGCUAACUACGUG
Molecule: ribosomal RNA, 462 nt
Filed under: uncultured bacterium
Lineage: Bacteria
Description: bacterial SSU rRNA
Rfam family: Bacterial small subunit ribosomal RNA
Source: RNAcentral